RNAcentral lists this long non-coding RNA (1320 nucleotides) under Vombatus ursinus (common wombat). RNAcentral's name for it is "lncRNA (ENSVURG00010021902.1)". The record is from RNAcentral. Lineage: Eukaryota; Metazoa; Chordata; Mammalia; Diprotodontia; Vombatidae.
GGGCCGCUGACGCUCUUGGCUGGCGAGGCCGUACCCGCUGCGGAGCUGCGCGCUGGGCGGCGGCGGCGGUGGCGGAGGCUACAAUGGGGCUUCUGUGUGUGUGUGUGUGUGCCCCUGCCGCCGCCGCCGCCGCCGCCUCCCGCGGGGACCCGGGGAGGGAAACGAAGAGAGAAGGGGAAUCCCGGCCUACUUCCUUUUCCGGAUGGGGGCGACCUCUUUGUGCGAACCAGGGAGCGUGACCCGCACAUCUGGCGCACAUCUGGGGAUGCGGCUGCGAGAGGGAGCGCGGCGGCGGCGGCGGAGGAAGAGGAGACGACCGAGCAUCGGGGCGGGUGGGAGGCCCGGGCAGGUGGUGAAAAAAAAAAUUAAAAAUUUUUAUAAAGAUCUGGAAGGUUUACUUCAUCUGGAAGGCAGGAAGAUCUGAAAGAAUUGUAGCACAAUUUGGAUUUCUCACCCUGUAAUUCAUUAUUUUAAUUGCAAUGCAGGCACAGCUGCUUGCCUCUUUUGUCCCACCCUAGUAUGUAUGUAUGUAUGUAUGUAUCUAUCUAUCUAUAUCAUAUGUAGUAUGUCUUUUCUGUAUACCUACACAUAUUGUCUAUAGCAUAAAUCUGAUUCAUGCUUAUGAUCUAAUAACUGGCAUGCUAUUGACAUAGACAUAAGGCCUCUAUUGAAACUAUUUUAAUUUUCAUGGGGUUGGAAAAUGAUGUCCCUGAGGGUUGUAGAAUGAUAGUUACACUAAUCUUCCUUUUUUCUUCUUUUCUGAGCCUGAAUUAGCCUAUCAUUGUGUGAAUAGCUGAAAAACUUAUUCCUCAUUUUUACAGCAUCUGAUUUUAUUUGUAAAGAAUAAGAAUCACUGUUAAUCUACAAAUAUUUCACCUGUCAAGCAGUAAGCUGCUCUGCUAUUUGCAAUUUUCUGUUUUAUCUUGUUAGCAUGAUUACCAUAUAAAAAUCACAUAAAAAUUCUACCUUGCUUUUAAAUACUUUAAUUUAAGAUUGACAGUGACUUGUUUAAUUAAACGUACUUUCUUUUGGUGUUCCUGUAUUUAGAAAUUGAAAUAUAGUAUUUCACUACCUUUAUAAGAUUGUGUUUGCAUUUAUUUAAUUUAGAGUUCUUUUUAAAAGCAUGUAGCCUUGAAUGUUUGUUCUACAUUUUUUUUUUCCACAUCAUUACUCUGGUACUGCUUGAUGUAACUUGAUUAGCUCCCUCCCCAGUCAUGAUUGGUAAUUAAAAUAGGCAUUAAAAUUAGUCACUUAGCAAUUUUGCUGUUCAAUUGGCAAUUAAAUUACUUAAUUGCAAUUAAAGUCCUAAUUUUAAUUGGC